GGCUCAGAACGAACGCUGGCGGCGUGGAUAAGACAUGCAAGUCGAACGAGAGAAUUGCUAGCUUGCUAAUAAUUCUCUAGUGGCGCACGGGUGAGUAACACGCGAGUAACCUGCCCCCGAGAGCGGGAUAGCCCUGGGAGACUGGGAUUAAUACCGCAUAGUAUCGAAAGAUUAAAGCAGCAAUGCGCUUGGGGAUGGGCUCGCGGCCUAUUAGUUAGUUGGUGAGGUAACGGCUCACCAAGGCGAUGACGGGUAGCCGGUCUGAGAGGAUGUCCGGCCACACUGGAACUGAGACACGGUCCAGACACCUACGGGUGGCAGCAGUCGAGAAUCAUUCACAAUGGGGGAAACCCUGAUGGUGCGACGCCGCGUGGGGGAAUGAAGGUCUUCGGAUUGUAAACCCCUGUCAUGUGGGAGCAAAUUAAAAAGAUAGUACCACAAGAGGAAGAGACGGCUAACUCUGUGCCAGCAGCCGCGGUAAUACAGAGGUCUCAAGCGUUGUUCGGAAUCACUGGGCG
RNAcentral lists this ribosomal RNA (518 nucleotides) under uncultured bacterium. RNAcentral describes it as "bacterial SSU rRNA". It matches the Rfam family "Bacterial small subunit ribosomal RNA", at positions 21 to 560 of the family's 1533-position model. The record is from RNAcentral.